AUCCUGGCUCAGGAUGAACGCUAGCUACAGGCUUAACACAUGCAAGUCGAGGGGAAACGAUAUUGGAAGCUUGCUUCUGAUAGGCGUCGACCGGCGCACGGGUGAGUAACGCGUAUCCAACCUGCCCAUCACUUGGGGAUAACCUUGCGAAAGUAAGACUAAUACCCAAUGACGUCUCUAGAAGACAUCUGAAAGAGAUUAAAGAUUUAUCGGUGAUGGAUGGGGAUGCGUCUGAUUAGCUUGUUGGCGGGGUAACGGCCCACCAAGGCGACGAUCAGUAGGGGGUUCUGAGAGGGAGGUCCCCCACAUUGGAACUGAGACACGGUCCAAACUCCUACGGGAGGCAGCAGUGAGGAAUAUUGGUCAAUGGACGAGAGUCUGAACCAGCCAAGUAGCGUGCAGGAUGACGGCCCUAUGGGUUGUAAACUGCUUUUAUAAGGGAAUAAAGUGGGAGUCGUGACUCUUUUGCAUGUACCUUAUGAAUAAGGACCGGCUAAUUCCGUG
RNAcentral lists this ribosomal RNA (504 nucleotides) under uncultured bacterium. RNAcentral describes it as "bacterial SSU rRNA". It matches the Rfam family "Bacterial small subunit ribosomal RNA", at positions 16 to 507 of the family's 1533-position model. The record is from RNAcentral.